This 905-nucleotide ribosomal RNA is filed under the name uncultured Bacillota bacterium. RNAcentral describes it as "bacterial SSU rRNA". It matches the Rfam family "Bacterial small subunit ribosomal RNA", at positions 1 to 917 of the family's 1533-position model. Lineage: Bacteria; Bacillati; Bacillota. The record is from RNAcentral.
UGGAUCCAGACUUUGAUUCUGGCUCAGGAUGAACGCUGGCGGCGUGCCUAACACAUGCAAGUCGAACGGACUUACAUUGAAGCCUAGCGAUAUGUAAGUUAGUGGCGGACGGGUGAGUAACGCGUGGGUAACCUGCCUUGUACUGGGGGACAACAGUUGGAAACGACUGCUAAUACCGCAUAAGCGCACAGCUUCGCAUGAAGCAGUGUGAAAAACUCCGGUGGUACAAGAUGGACCCGCGUCUGAUUAGCUGGUUGGUGAGGUAACGGCCCACCAAGGCGACGAUCAGUAGCCGGCCUGAGAGGGUGAACGGCCACAUUGGGACUGAGACACGGCCCAAACUCCUACGGGAGGCAGCAGUGGGGAAUACUGCACAAUGGGGGAAACCCCGAUGCAGCAACGCCGCGUGAGUGAAGAAGUAUUUCGGUAUGUAAAGCUCUAUCAGCAGGAAAGAAAAUGACGGUACCUGACUAAGAAGCCCCGGCUAACUACGUGCCAGCAGCCGCGGUAAUACGUAGGGGGCAAGCGUUAUCCGGAUUUACUGGGCGUAAAGGGAGCGUAGACGGUUUUGCAAGUCUGAAGUGAAAGCCCGGGGCUUAACCCCGGGACUGCUUUGGAAACUGUAGAACUAGAGUGCAGGAGAGGUAAGUGGAAUUCCUAGUGUAGCGGUGAAAUGCGUAGAUAUUAGGAGGAACACCAGUGGCGAAGGCGGCUUACUGGACUGUAACUGACGUUGAGGCUCGAAAGCGUGGGGAGCAAACAGGAUUAGAUACCCUGGUAGUCCACGCCGUAAACGAUGAUUACUAGGUGUUGGUGGGUAUGACCCAUCGGUGCCGCAGCAAACGCAAUAAGUAAUCCACCUGGGGAGUACGUUCGCAAGAAUGCAACUCAAAUGAAUUGACGGA